UUUUUUUUGUUUUUGUUGUUUUUUGUUUGCGUGUGGCCAUUUUGCAGGUGUGAUGUGACGUGCGUGGACGCGAUGACGGUGGCGGCGACAUGCUCAAGGGAGGCCAGCAGAACACGCCGCGCUGGGGGCUUUGGCAGAGGUGCGGCGCGCCCUAGGGCUUGCUUGCUGCUGAAUGUUUGUAAUUUUUGGCUAGGGUUAACUUUGGGCCAUUAGUUUUUUUAGAAUUGGGCUUGUGGGUUCUGAUGGACUAUAAUUUUUUGUUUUUGUUUUGGCACUGGGCCCGGGCAAAAUGGGCUUGUACAGCUGCCCUCUUUGGUCAUUGUCGUGUAACGAGAAUAGAGCAAAAACUAAGAAAGACCAAUUUUGCCCGGUCUCACUGACUUGACUGGUUCCG
This 394-nucleotide long non-coding RNA is filed under the name Gossypium raimondii (Peruvian cotton). Its description in RNAcentral is "long non-coding RNA (GRAI_LNC011139)". Lineage: Eukaryota; Viridiplantae; Streptophyta; Magnoliopsida; Malvales; Malvaceae. The record is from RNAcentral.